Molecule: long non-coding RNA, 1080 nt
Filed under: Fukomys damarensis (Damara mole-rat)
Lineage: Eukaryota; Metazoa; Chordata; Mammalia; Rodentia; Bathyergidae
Description: lncRNA (ENSFDAG00000030609.1)
Source: RNAcentral
GUCUCUCUGAGUUCCAGCUGGGCUGCUUUCUACCCUCUUGUCUCAGCCUCCUUGGUGCUAGGGUUGUUUGUGAUGCCAAACAUCCUUGUGAUGCCAGGCUUGUUUGUUGUUUGCCUGUUUGUGGUACUGGGGUUGAACCCAGGGCUGCAUCCCAGCCUGUUUGUAUUUUGUUUGGAGGCAGGGAGUCCUUAAGUCACCCCGGCUGACUCACUGUCCCUCUUCCUGCCUCGGCCUCCACAGCACUGGGUCUCCAGGCUGUGCCGCCACUUGGACCGAAACUGGAGCUUCCGCCUCUGAGCACUUCGGCUCUCAGGGCCCAUGUUGUCCUCCCGCACCCAUUCCGCACGGCCUGCUGCAGUAAAGGCCCACUGCGAGCUCUGCUGCUGGCCGAAUCAGGAGGUCUCCCUUUCAUCAGGUUUCUCACCCUGGGCCCAGGGGAGAGGCUACCAACUAUGCGUGCGCUCCCGCCUGUGUCUGUGCAAGGUGUGAUCAAGAGCGCAGUGAGUGCUGCUGCCGAACGCCAUGUAAUGGGCAGAAAAACAAGACGCUGCGUCCUCGUCCACCUUGUUCACCAGGUCUGGCACCCAGACUUCCGGCUCUGCCCAAAGUCAAGGUGACUGUGAAAGGUCGACGUUUUGAAUCAAUUGAGGAUAUCAAGGCAGCCAUGACAGUGCGACACAGGCCCUCAGGAAAGAGGACUCCAGAGCUGCUGCAGGAGGGGCCGGGACAGUGGGAUGAGUGUGUUGAGGGGAGGACGGGGGGGGGGGCUCGGGGCCACGUGACUCUUGCUGCAAUGCUUCUAUUUAUUUGAGCAUUCACUGAGCUUUUUUCGAUCACACCUAGUAUAAGACCCAGGGUUUCUGCCCUGUGUUUUCAGGGCCUUCCAUGGAGCUGCCUCCAGGCCCCCAUGGCUGUCCCGCAGCCUGUGGGGAAUCUCUCUGUGUUUCCCAGCUAAAGGUCCAAUGCGAUCCAUGAACAAGACACCCACCAGGACAGACGGCCGGCCUCUGCCCCAGGACGCUUGCAUGGCAGGUGCAGAGUGUGCAGCUCAGUGAGGGGUGUAGCAGGUCUCAGACAGGG